Molecule: ribosomal RNA, 253 nt
Filed under: uncultured bacterium
Lineage: Bacteria
Description: partial 16S ribosomal RNA
Rfam family: Bacterial small subunit ribosomal RNA
Source: RNAcentral
UACGUAGGGGGCAAGCGUUGUCCGGAUUCAUUGGGCGUAAAGCGCGUGUAGGCGGUUCGGUAAGUCCGCUGUGAAAGUCGGGGGCUCAACCCUCGGAUGCCGGUGGAUACUGUCGAGCUUGAGUACGGAAGAGGCGAGUGGAAUUCCUGGUGUAGCGGUGAAAUGCGCAGAUAUCAGGAGGAACACCAAUUGCGAAGGCAGCUCGCUGGGACGUUACUGACGCUGAGACGCGAAAGCGUGGGGAGCAAACAGG